AAAACGAUGAAUGCCAAAGACUCUGAUCCGUAUGUCUGUCAGUGGUAUAAAAAAGUAUACUCAUCCCUGUGCCCUUCUUUUUGGGUUGACAACUGGGAUGAACUUAGGGAAAAUGGCUGUUUUCCAGGCAAAAUCUGAUGGUCUUUUGUCUGCCAGUAGCUCCCCCUACUCAGGAUGUUGCACUGCUGACUCCUUUCUAUGUGUACAUCUGAAGGAUUGUCUGAAAUGGCUCUUGUCUGCUUAAGCAUCUGAAUCAUUCAAUAGUACAAAAUCUUGGAUAUUACCCAUUCUAAUAAAAUGCAUAAUACCCA
Molecule: long non-coding RNA, 311 nt
Organism: Protobothrops mucrosquamatus (brown spotted pit viper)
Lineage: Eukaryota; Metazoa; Chordata; Lepidosauria; Squamata; Viperidae
Exons: 2
Source: RefSeq, a predicted model, not a curated record